RNAcentral lists this ribosomal RNA (595 nucleotides) under uncultured Gammaproteobacteria bacterium. RNAcentral's name for it is "bacterial SSU rRNA". It matches the Rfam family "Bacterial small subunit ribosomal RNA", at positions 329 to 915 of the family's 1533-position model. Lineage: Bacteria; Pseudomonadati; Pseudomonadota; Gammaproteobacteria. The record is from RNAcentral.
AGAGUCACUCCUACGGGAGGCAGCAGUGGGGAAUAUUGGACAAUGGGGGCAACCCUGAUCCAGCAAUGCCGCGUGUGUGAAGAAGGCCUUCGGGUUGUAAAGCACUUUCGGACGGAACGAAAUCGCACGGGCGAACAUCCCGUGUGGAUGACGGUACCGGAAGAAGAAGCACCGGCUAACUACGUGCCAGCAGCCGCGGUAAUACAGAGGGGGCAAGCGUUGUUCGGAAUUACUGGGCGUAAAGGGCGCGUAGGCGGCCUUCUAAGUCGAACGUGAAAUCCCUCGGCUUAACCGGGGAACUGCGUCUGAUACUGGAUGGCUUGAGGUUGGGAGAGGGAUGCGGAAUUCCAGGUGUAGCGGUGAAAUGCGUAGAUAUCUGGAGGAACACCAGAGGCGAAGGCGGCGUCCUGGCCCACAACUGACGCUCAUACACGACAGCAUGGGGAGCGAACGGGAUUAGAAACCCCGGUAGUCCAUGCCAUAAACGAUGCAGACUAGGCGCUGGAGGUCUCAACCCCUUCGGUGCCGUAGCUAACGCGCUAAGUCUGCCGCCUGGGGAGUACGGCCGCAAGGUUGAAACUUAAAGGAAUUGACG